GUUGAAACACCGAUUCUCGUCCGAUCAGUGAAGUUGAGCAACGUCGAGUCGGGGUCAGUAGCUAGAUGGGUGACCAUUUGGGAAUACCAGGUGGUGUAAG
Molecule: non-coding RNA, 100 nt
Organism: Acanthosepion pharaonis
Lineage: Eukaryota; Metazoa; Mollusca; Cephalopoda; Sepiida; Sepiidae
Source: the annotation of a GenBank genome assembly